CCCACCACUCUGAAUGUAGUGCACACUUAAGAAUUUAUAUGGCUCAGCGUUGAGGCUGAGACAUGUUCUUUUAUAACUUGUGACGUAGCGAGCGUUUGAGAUAUCUAUCUAAACGUGUCGUUGAGGCUAAGGCGGGGACUUCGAGUCCCUAAAUAAUUGAGUCGUAUGUUCGCGUUGGUGGCUUUGUACCCCACACAACACGGCAUGACCCUGAGGCAACUUGGGGUUAUAUGGUCAAGCGAAUAAGCGCACACGGUGGAUGCCUAGGCGGUCAGAGGCGAUGAAGGACGUGGUAGCCUGCGAAAAGUGUCGGGGAGUUGGCAACAAGCUUUGAUCCGGCAAUAUCCGAAUGGGGAAACCCACUGCUUCGGCAGUAUCCUGCAGUGAAUUCAUAGCUGCUGGAAGCGAACCCGGUGAACUGAAAUAUCUAAGUAACCGGAGGAAAAGAAAUCAACCGAGAUUCCCUAAGUAGUGACGAGCGAACGGGGAGCAGCCCUUAAGCUGGAAUGGCUUUAGAAAAACAAUCUGGAAAGAUUGGCCAUAGAAGGUGAUAGCCCUGUAUUUAAAAGGGCCACUCCAGUGAAGACGAGUAGGGCGGGGCACGUGAAACCCUGUCUGAAUAUGGGGGGACCAUCCUCCAAGGCUAAAUACUCCUGACCGACCGAUAGUGAACCAGUACC
Molecule: small RNA, 680 nt
Filed under: Xanthomonas euvesicatoria
Lineage: Bacteria; Pseudomonadati; Pseudomonadota; Gammaproteobacteria; Lysobacterales; Lysobacteraceae
Description: bacterial LSU rRNA
Rfam family: Bacterial large subunit ribosomal RNA (bases 233-680)
Source: RNAcentral